UGGGGAAUUUUGGACAAUGGGGGAAACCCUGAUCCAGCCAUCCCGCGUGUGCGAUGAAGGCCUUCGGGUUGUAAAGCACUUUUGGCAGGAAAGAAACGUCGCGGGUUAAUACCCCGCGGAACUGACGGUACCUGCAGAAUAAGCACCGGCUAACUACGUGCCAGCAGCCGCGGUAAUACGUAGGGUGCAAGCGUUAAUCGGAAUUACUGGGCGUAAAGCGUGCGCAGGCGGUUCGGAAAGAAAGAUGUGAAAUCCCAGAGCUUAACUUUGGAACUGCAUUUUUAACUACCGGGCUAGAGUGUGUCAGAGGGAGGUGGAAUUCCGCGUGUAGCAGUGAAAUGCGUAGAUAUGCGGAGGAACACCGAUGGCGAAGGCAGCCUCCUGGGAUAACACUGACGCUCAUGCACGAAAGCGUGGGGAGCAAACAGGAUUAGAUACCCUGGUAGUCCACGCCCUAAACGAUGUCAACUAGCUGUUGGGGUCUUCGGACCUUGGUAAGCGCAGCUAACGCGGUGAAGUUGACCGCCUGGGGAGUACGGUCGCAAGAUUAAAACUCAAAUGAAUUG
Molecule: ribosomal RNA, 566 nt
Filed under: uncultured bacterium
Lineage: Bacteria
Description: partial 16S ribosomal RNA
Rfam family: Bacterial small subunit ribosomal RNA
Source: RNAcentral